UACAGAGGGUGCAAGCGUUAAUCGGAAUUACUGGGCGUAAAGCGUGCGUAGUCGGUUAUCUAAGUCGGAUGUGAAAUCCCCGGGCUCAACCUGGGAAUUGCAUUCGAUACUGGAUAGCUAGAGUUCGGAAGAGGGAAGCGGAAUUCCUGGUGUAGCGGUGAAAUGCGUAGAUAUCAGGAGGAACACCUGCGGUGUAGACGGCUUACUGGACCAUCACUGACGCUGAGGCACGAAAGCGUGGGUAGCAAACAGG
This 253-nucleotide ribosomal RNA is filed under the name uncultured bacterium. RNAcentral describes it as "partial 16S ribosomal RNA". It matches the Rfam family "Bacterial small subunit ribosomal RNA", at positions 524 to 776 of the family's 1533-position model. The record is from RNAcentral.